This 468-nucleotide ribosomal RNA is filed under the name uncultured bacterium. RNAcentral describes it as "partial 16S ribosomal RNA". It matches the Rfam family "Bacterial small subunit ribosomal RNA", at positions 28 to 507 of the family's 1533-position model. The record is from RNAcentral.
GACGAACGCUGGCGGCGUGCUUAACACAUGCAAGUCGAACGGAAAGGCCCUGCUUUUGUGGGGUGCUCGAGUGGCGAACGCGUGAGUAACACGUGAGUAACCUGCCCUUGACUUUGGGAUAUCUUCAGGAAACUGGGGCUAAUACCGGAUAGAAGCUCCUGAUGCAUGGUGGGGGUUGGAAAGUUUCGGCGGUUGGGGAUGGACUCGCAGCUUAUCAGCUUGUUGGUCGGGUAGUGGCGUACCAAGGCUUUGACGGGUAGCCUGCCUGGGAGCGUGACCGGCGACAAGAGUACUACGAGAGGCAGCAGUAGGCAACGGGACGCAGCAGGCGAGAACAUGACGGAACGGGCGGAAGUCUGUGGCAGCGACGUUGCGAUCGGGAUAACGUGUUACGGGGGAAAAACCGAUUUGGCCGGUAACGAAGAGGGAGUGACGGUAAUGGGUAAAAAAGCACCGGCUAACUACGUG